GAAGGUGGCCUGUGAGGGUUGCUGGAGGUAUCAGAAGUGCGAAUGCUGACAUAAGUAACGAUAAAGCGGGUGAAAAGCCCGCUCGCCGGAAGACCAAGGGUUCCUGUCCAACGUUAAUCGGGGCAGGGUGAGUCGACCCCUAAGGCGAGGCCGAAAGGCGUAGUCGAUGGGAAACGGGUUAAUAUUCCCGUACUUGGUGUUACUGCGAAGGGGGGACGGAGAAGGCUAUGUUGGCCGGGCGACGGUUGUCCCGGUUUAAGCGUGUAGGUGUGUGUUCCAGGUAAAUCCGGUUCACUUUAACACUGAGGCGUGA
Molecule: ribosomal RNA, 313 nt
Filed under: Salmonella enterica subsp. enterica serovar Oranienburg
Lineage: Bacteria; Pseudomonadati; Pseudomonadota; Gammaproteobacteria; Enterobacterales; Enterobacteriaceae
Also listed under: 20 other names
Description: partial 23S ribosomal RNA
Rfam family: Bacterial large subunit ribosomal RNA
Source: RNAcentral